Molecule: small nucleolar RNA, 97 nt
Filed under: Catagonus wagneri (Chacoan peccary)
Lineage: Eukaryota; Metazoa; Chordata; Mammalia; Artiodactyla; Tayassuidae
Description: Small nucleolar RNA U13 (ENSCWAG00000020321.1)
Rfam family: Small nucleolar RNA U13
Source: Rfam by way of RNAcentral
AUCCUUUUGUAGUUCAUGAGCGUGAUUGUUCAUGCAGCUGCGUGACAUGUGCCUCUGUCAACUCUUGUUACGAUAGAGGCACAUUACUCAUCUGACG